RNAcentral lists this ribosomal RNA (440 nucleotides) under uncultured bacterium. RNAcentral's name for it is "bacterial SSU rRNA". It matches the Rfam family "Bacterial small subunit ribosomal RNA", at positions 29 to 464 of the family's 1533-position model. The record is from RNAcentral.
AUUGAACGCUGGCGGCGUGCCUAACACAUGCAAGUCGAGCGGUAACAGGUGUAGCAAUACAUGCUGACGAGCGGCGGACGGGUGAGUAACGCUUGGGAAUCUGCCUAUUAGUGGGGGACAACCCGGGGAAACUCGGGCUAAUACCGCAUACGCACUACGGUGGAAAGCCGGGGACCGCAAGGCCUGGCGCUAACAGAUGAGCCCAAGUCGGAUUAGCUAGUUGGUAGGGUAACGGCCACCAAGGCGACGAUCCGUAACUGGUCUGAGAGGACGACCAGUCACACCGGAACUGAGACACGGUCCGGACUCCUACGGGAGGCAGCAGUGGGGAAUAUUGGACAAUGGGCGAAAGCCUGAUCCAGCGACGCCGCGUGGGUGAAGAAGGCCUGCGGGUUGUAAAGCCCUUUCAGUGGGGAAGAAAAGCCUCGAGCUAACACCUC